GGCCUACCAAAGUGCUGGGAUUACAGGUGUGAGCCAUGGCGCCUGGCCUCCAAUGGGGCUUUUAAAAGUCAUGUAGCAUAAGGCUGAGGAAUCACCCCAACUUGGGGGUGAGCAUCACUGAAGAUCCUAAGUCUCAUGUAACCUGAGCCAACAAAGAGUUAUGUGCAGGUAAGGAUACUCUCAAGUGAUCUAGUGGGGGUGGCUCCCUUUGCUUCAUGUGGAUUGGUGAGUAAGGAAAGCCUAUGAUGAUGAUGACCAUGAUGAUGAUGAUGAUGAUGAUGAUGAUUGAAGCAUGAUGCUGAGAGGAAGGGUUCACCCUAACCCGAUGACUGCAGGAGAGAAAGAGCCAACAAAGGAAUGAGGAAGCUCUUCCUGCACCCUAGUGAACAGGCUGACUUUCUAAUUAUCUGUGGACUGUGAAUCUCUGCCUUUGUAGAUCUGGAGUCAAAGCUGCCACCUAAACAACCAGAAGGAAAGGCACCAUCUUACACAAAAAGCAAACCUCAGGCCAGGCGCGGUGGCUCAUGCCUGUAAUCCCAGCACUUUGGAAGGCCGAGGUGGGCGGAUCAUGAGGUCAGGAGAUUGAGACCAUCCUGGCUAACACGGUGAAACCCCAUCUCAACAAAAAUGCAAAAUAUUAGCCAGGCCUGGUGGCGGGUGCCUGUAGUCCCAGCUGCUUGGGAGGCUGAGGCAGGAGAAUCGCUUGAACCCGGGAGGCGGAGCUUGCAGUGAGCUGAGAUCACACCACUGCACUCCAGCCUGGGCGACAGAGCCAGACUCUGUCUCAAAAAAAAAAAAAAAAGCAAACCUCCUGACCCCCACCCUCAGUUUUCAGAGGCACAGACAGCAGAGGAGCUACAUUUGCAGAGAAGAUGAUGAAGGAAGACAGCAGCUCACUGGAGAGUGAUUCCUGUGAGGGCAAGUUUUCAGGGACCGAGCACAGCAGGGACAAGGAAGCUGCCAGAAGCCACUCCCACUGCAAACAGUUCCAAAAAUAAGGGAAACUCAGCAAGGGAAAGAGGGUGGAGGGAAUGGCAAAGAGGUGGGCACCGAGGGCAGCUCCCAAAAAGGACAUUAGGGCAGGGAUUAGUUGCAAGAGGAGGAGAUGGAAGAGAUGAAAGUGGAAAGAGCUGACUCUAGAUUGGGGCAAGAUCAAGGGGACAUCAAGGGUCCUACCCAGCAGCAACACUAAGUCUCUGAAAUUAGAAUUGCAGGAUCAUCCAGGGAGCAGAAUCCUUCUACCUUUAGCUGCCUGAAACUUCACCAAGAUGUACAUAUUUGGACUUCAGGAACAUAAUUACAACUAUAUCCCCUGCUUGGAUUGCCAGACCUCUCCCACGUAUAGAUGGGACUAUUAUCCCAGCUCUGCCACCCCUACGCAGUUGAAAAAAAUACCAAAACAGAUAUCAGCGAUAUGGAUGUGAUAUUGUGAUAUAAUAAGAAAUAUAUAUUUGGUUUUCCUCCUUCAGUUUUGGCACAGUGGGUUCCAGCACACAGCUCCUAAAACCCUUAGAAUUUCCUAAGUGAGCCAGGUGCAGUGGUACAUGCCUGUAGUCCCAGUUUCUCAGGAGGCUGAGGUGGGAGGAUUGCACCUGUGAAUAGCCACUGUACUGAAGACUGGGUAACAUAGUGAGACCUUAUCUCUAGAAACAAAUUUUUUAGUUAAAAAAAAUUAAAGAAUAUCCUGAGUGUUAGGAGGGGAGCAUCUUUAUUAUUUGUAAUAAGCCCCUUUCUUCUUCUUCUUUUUUUUUUUUUUUUGAGAUGGAGU
RNAcentral lists this long non-coding RNA (1768 nucleotides) under Homo sapiens (human). RNAcentral's name for it is "HSALNT0016464". Lineage: Eukaryota; Metazoa; Chordata; Mammalia; Primates; Hominidae. The record is from RNAcentral.